CUCGGCCCGUCUGCCUGGCACCGCCCAUAGCCCCGCCCCGAGGACUGGUCUCCGUCCCUGGUGCUGACGCAGCCCAGGGCCGCGGGGCCCUCCCUCAUCGAACUAGAAAUCCUCGCCACUGGCUGGGGUGCGCGGCGGUAGCCCCCGCCCGUCCCAACCGGAGCCCCUAAACGUUCCUCUCCGCGGCGGCUCGACAGAGACCGGAACUGGGGCGCGAGGCGACCAGCCCGAGACCGGAAGCGGAAGCGUGGGGCGCUGGCGUGGAAGGAGCCUGGAGGGUUGGCUGCGUGGGGUCCACUGUCGUCUUCGCGCGGGACCGGCUUCACGUGCCCCCCAGUCUGUGUUAAAACCGGCAUCAAGAUCCACCAGCCUUGAAGUCUGCCGUCCUCACUGACCCGUGGAUUUCUGUGUGACGGGAGCCUGCCUGAGUGAGCCGUGCGGACCAGAAGAGAGCAUCCGGGUUCUUCCGCGGCCCGUUGUCCCGGAAAAUUGUCU
Long non-coding RNA from Suricata suricatta (meerkat), 495 nucleotides. RefSeq lists it as uncharacterized. The record is from RefSeq and is a predicted model, not a curated record. Lineage: Eukaryota; Metazoa; Chordata; Mammalia; Carnivora; Herpestidae. The transcript is spliced from 3 exons.